This 1509-nucleotide long non-coding RNA is filed under the name Salmo salar (Atlantic salmon). Its description in RNAcentral is "lncRNA (ENSSSAG00000114437.1)". Lineage: Eukaryota; Metazoa; Chordata; Actinopteri; Salmoniformes; Salmonidae. The record is from RNAcentral.
UUCACAUCGGUUACAUAAAGAACAGGACUUGUUGCUAACCAGCUAAAAUCAGCUUGGCGUAACCAAGGAACUACUACAACAACAAUAACAACAACAGACGGUGUUGACUACUACAGCCGAUCGGGGACAAAAAGGAUUCGUCCCAAAUGUCUCCCUAUAUAGGUCACUACUUUUGGAGCCCUGUGGGACCGUGGUCAAAAGUAGUGCCCUACAUAUAGGCAAUAGGGUGGCAUUUGGGACCUGUAAUCCCUAACGUUACCCUGACCUCUCCAUGUCUGCCUGUCUGCGUAAUAGAUUUAGCUAGCUGACUACUCACAAAGUUACACACUGCUUUGGCUCUUGACCAGAUGCAAUGGGAGGACAGCGGGGAUCAUGGAAGGACCAGCAAGAGGAGAAGACUAAAGAAAUCAUCCUGAGAGAAACUCAACGUGACCGUUAACAGAAGUCCAUUUAUGUAGCAGAGAACCUUGUUUCUCGCCUCCAAAAUGACGAUCCGUUUCAAUCUGUUCAGUACGCCUACCAGCAGGACUGACACGCUGAGGAAUAACACAGCCCAUGUUCCUGAACACUGAUACUAGGAGUUGGAUUAAAUGUUUUAAUCUGAAAUGAAGGUUCGCAUCUAAAAACUCACAGGUUUGGAUGGAACCAAAGUGAAGAAGGUGACCAAGUUCAAGGUGGAGAGGUAGGUGGCCAUCAAAGCAGAGGGUCGUGGAGGUUAAAGCCAUCAAAGCGGAGGGUCGUGGAGUUGUUGACACUACAGUGGCUGUGUCACUACAGGUCAAAUACCUGUGGCUGGCAAGGGAGCGAAGACGGGAGAGGAACCAAAGAGUAAAAGCAAGAGGUGCCUUUUGAAGUUCAUCCCAGUCGAGGGCCAGAGAAGUAGGUGCCAGCCGAGGGCCAGAGAAGUAGGUGCCAGCCGAGGGCCAGAGAAGUAGGUGCCAGCCGAGGGCCAGAGAAGUAGGUGCCAGCCGAGGGCCAGAGAAGUAGGUGCCAGUCGAGGGCCAGAGAAGUAGGUGCCAGCCGAGGGCCAGAGAAGUAGGUGCCAGUCGAGGGCCAGAGAAGUCGGUGCCAGUCAAGGGCCAGAGAAGUCGGUGCCAGUCGAGGGCCAGAGAAGUAGGUGCCAGUCGAGGGCCAGAGAAGUAGGUGCCAGCCGAGGCCUGGUCCUGCUGGUCCAGCUGGGUCUGCUGACCUAUGACCUGUGUGUCAACUCCUUCAGUGAGCUGCUCAGGGCAGGGCCCGUCAUCCAGCUGGUGCUGUUCAUCAUCCAGGACGUAGGUUCAGCAUCCAGGAUGUAGGUUCAGCAUCCAGGACGUAGGUUCAGCAUCCAGGAAGUAGGUUCAGCAUCCAGGAUGUAGGUUCAGCAUCCAGGACGUAAGUUCAGCAUCCAGGACGUAGGUUCAGCAUCCAGGAUGUAGGUUCAGCAUCCAGGAUGUAGGUUCAGCAUCCAGGAUGUAGAUUUAGCAUCCAGGAUGUAGGUUUAGCAUCCAGGACGUAGGUUCAGCAUCCAGG